GUGAGGAACCUGCCUCAAAGAGGGGGACAACAGUUGGAAACGACUGCUAAUACCGCAUAAGCCCACGGGUCGGCAUCGACCUGAGGGAAAAGGAGCAAUCCGCUUUGAGAUGGCCUCGCGUCCGAUUAGCUAGUUGGUGAGGUAACGGCCCACCAAGGCGACGAUCGGUAGCCGGACUGAGAGGUUGAACGGCCACAUUGGGACUGAGACACGGCCCAGACUCCUACGGGAGGCAGCAGUGGGGAAUAUUGCACAAUGGGGGAAACCCUGAUGCAGCGACGCCGCGUGGAGGAAGAAGGUCUUCGGAUUGUAAACUCCUGUUGUUGAGGAAGUUAAUGACGGUACUCAACAAGGAAGUGACGGCUAACUACGUGCCAGCAGCCGCGGUAAAACGUAGGUCACAAGCGUUGUCCGGAAUUACUGGGUGUAAAGGGAGCGCAGGCGGGAAGACAAGUUGGAAGUGAAAUCUAUGGGCUUAACCCAUAAACUGCUUUCAAAACUGUUUUUCUUGAGUAGUGCAGAGGUAGGCGGAAUUCCCGGUGUAGCGGUGGAAUGCGUAGAUAUCGGGAGGAACACCAGUGGCGAAGGCGGCCUACUGGGCACCAACUGACGCUGAGGCUCGAAAGUGUGGGUAGCAAACAGGAUUAGAUACCCUGGUAGUCCACACUGUAAACGAUGAUUACUAGGUGUUGGAGGAUUGACCCCUUCAGUGCCGCAGUUAACACAAUAAGUAAUCCA
RNAcentral lists this ribosomal RNA (738 nucleotides) under uncultured bacterium. Its description in RNAcentral is "bacterial SSU rRNA". It matches the Rfam family "Bacterial small subunit ribosomal RNA", at positions 117 to 871 of the family's 1533-position model. The record is from RNAcentral.